Molecule: long non-coding RNA, 1066 nt
Filed under: Hordeum vulgare
Lineage: Eukaryota; Viridiplantae; Streptophyta; Magnoliopsida; Poales; Poaceae
Description: long non-coding RNA (HVUL_LNC008726)
Source: RNAcentral
UUUUUUUCGUCGGCAAAAAAAUGGCCGGGGAGGGCACGACUGGAGAUGCUCUUAGCGUAGAGCUAGAGGCAGGACUAAAGGAUCUCUCGCAAUAGCUCUGGCGAUGUCAGCAUUGUUUGCUAGGCCGGUUGAAUGACACCACGCCGCGCUGAACAGAAAUCCAGCAAGUUUUACUUUAUUUUACUAUGAAAUAUAAACGUCCUUCAAUUUUGUUUGAAGUAGUUAUAAUUUUAAUUGAAGUGAUGUGCAUGGAAAUUAGCUAAUAGUGUUUCAUUGACUCUGAAUCUUGUUAAAGUUUGCAAGGUGGAAAAAAUCAUGCACGUUAAAAGAGAUGUUCCACAAAGUUCUAAAUAUAGUUCCAAUGGAUAAAAAUGGUAUCAUGUGUGAUUUUUGUCUUUUCAAUGUGUGCCCCCAUCUAUGAAAAUUGGUCGUUUAUGCAAAAAUAAUAAUACACAUAUUCACUUCCACUUGAUUCUUAAUGGAAAGAGAGGGGAUUUAAAACAGAAAACAGAAGAAGAAAGUACAAAUGGAAAGAGAGGGGAGUUCUGGGCCGUAUUGUUAAUGGGCUUAAGCCCAUCAAUGAAUUGACUGACCCACCAAAUCUGGCAACCAGCCCAAAACAACUCAGAACAGUUCAGAGGGAAAAAGCACGCAUUUCAAGGCCGAAGUCAAUGGCCAAAGAAUCGACUGACGGAACAUCGAUUUUCAGGCAACUUCAGGCUAAAAGUGUAAACUUCAGGCUGUACUAUGUUGUUUAUAUCUGAAGAAAGGAAAUCUCUGAAUCUCUCCUGGGUUCCCUUUCUGUACCAAACCCUUUCAGUUCAUCUUUUACCUCUGAAAUUUUUGUGAGAUUCUGUGCCCUCGGUCCUUGGAUAGUACGAAGAUUCUUUACAGAGGUUUUCCCUCUCUCUCGAAUUCAUUUCACAUCGAUAAUGGCCGCUCCAUGUGACACUUGACACUUAGCUCAUGGAAGAUCCUGGAAGCUGGAACAAAACAAGGGUCACAUGCCUCGGCCCCGUGCUCUCCGUUGGCUCCGUCCUCUUUGUUGCCUCUCGGAUUCCAUAAA